Molecule: ribosomal RNA, 459 nt
Filed under: uncultured bacterium
Lineage: Bacteria
Description: partial 16S ribosomal RNA
Rfam family: Bacterial small subunit ribosomal RNA
Source: RNAcentral
CCUACGGGAGGCAGCAGUGAGGAAUAUUGGUCAAUGGGCGCGAGCCUGAACCAGCCAAGUCGCGUGAGGGAAGACGGUCCUAUGGAUUGUAAACCUCUUUUGUCGGGGAGCAAAAGACGCCACGCGUGGCGUUCCGAGAGUACCCGAAGAAAAAGCAUCGGCUAACUCCGUGCCAGCAGCCGCGGUAAUACGGAGGAUGCGAGCGUUAUCCGGAUUUAUUGGGUUUAAAGGGUGCGCAGGCGGCAGAUCAAGUCAGCGGUAAAAUUGAGAGGCUCAACCUCUUCGAGCCGUUGAAACUGGUUGUCUUGAGUGAGCUAGAAGUAUGCGGAAGGCGUGGUGUAGCGGUGAAAUGCAUAGAUAUCACGCAGAACUCCGAUUGCGAAGGCAGCAUACCGGCGCUCAACUGACGCUCAUGCACGAAAGUGUGGGUAUCGAACAGGAUUAGAUACCCCAGUAGUC